This 403-nucleotide ribosomal RNA is filed under the name uncultured bacterium. RNAcentral's name for it is "partial 16S ribosomal RNA". It matches the Rfam family "Bacterial small subunit ribosomal RNA", at positions 28 to 526 of the family's 1533-position model. The record is from RNAcentral.
GACGAACGCUGGCGGCGUGCCUAAUACAUGCAAGUCGAACGCAGUGGGGAUGGGGGAGUAACACGUGGGUAACCUCCCAUCAGAGGGGAGAACACUUGGAAACAGGUGCUAAACCGAUACUGAUGUAUGGACCCGCGGUGCAUUAGCUAGUUGGUGGGGUAACGGCUCACCAAGGCCACGAUGCAUAGCCGACCUGAGAGGGUGAUCGGCCACACUGGGACUGAGACACGGCCCAGACUCCUACGGGAGGCAGCAGUGGGGAAUCUUCGGCAAUGGGCGAAAGUCUGACCGAGCCACGCCGCGUGUGUGAAGAAGGUUUUCGGGUCGUAAAGCUCUGUUGUUGGAGAAGCGGUAUCUAACCAGAAAGCCACGGCUAACUACGUGCCAGCAGCCGCGGUAAUUC